Molecule: ribosomal RNA, 569 nt
Filed under: uncultured bacterium
Lineage: Bacteria
Description: bacterial SSU rRNA
Rfam family: Bacterial small subunit ribosomal RNA
Source: RNAcentral
CACGGCCCAAACUCCUACGGGAGGCAGCAGUGGGGAAUAUUGGACAAUGGGCGCAAGCCUGAUCCAGCCAUGCCGCGUGAGUGAUGAAGGCCUUAGGGUUGUAAAGCUCUUUCGCUCGGGACGAUAAUGACGGUACCGAGAUAAGAAGCCCCGGCUAACUUCGUGCCAGCAGCCGCGGUAAUACGAAGGGGGCUAGCGUUGUUCGGAAUUACUGGGCGUAAAGCGCGUGUAGGCGGGUCUUUAAGUCAGGGGUGAAAUGCCAAGGCUCAACCUUGGAACUGCCUUUGAUACUGGAGAUCUUGAGUCCGGGAGAGGUGAGUGGAAUUGCGAGUGUAGAGGUGAAAUUCGUAGAUAUUCGCAAGAACACCAGUGGCGAAGGCGGCUCACUGGCCCGGAACUGACGCUGAGACGCGAAAGCGUGGGGAGCAAACAGGAUUAGAUACCCUGGUAGUCCACGCUGUAAACGAUGGAUGCUAGCCGUUGGGGAGCUUGCUCUUCAGUGGCGCAGCUAACGCUUUAAGCAUCCCGCCUGGGGAGUACGGUCGCAAGAUUAAAACUCAAAGGAAUGA